AGACACACACUCACUCACUAACACACAUACUAACAGACACACACACAGACACACACACACAGACACACUAACAGACACACACACACACUGACACACACUCACACUAACAGACACACUCACACUGACACACACACGCUAACAGACACCCACACUAACACACUCACACACACUUACAGACACACAUACUAACAGACACACACAGACACACACUCACACUAACAGACAUACACACUCUAACAGACACACAUUCACACUAACAUACACACACACUAACAGACACACACAGGGACACACUAACAGACAGACACACACAGGGACACACACACACACUCACACUAACAUAUACACACACACUAACAGACAUAUACACACAGACACACUAACAAACACACACUAACAUACACACACACAC
Non-coding RNA from Pelobates cultripes (western spadefoot toad), 412 nucleotides. The record is from the annotation of a GenBank genome assembly. Lineage: Eukaryota; Metazoa; Chordata; Amphibia; Anura; Pelobatidae.